Molecule: ribosomal RNA, 253 nt
Filed under: uncultured bacterium
Lineage: Bacteria
Description: partial 16S ribosomal RNA
Rfam family: Bacterial small subunit ribosomal RNA
Source: RNAcentral
UACGUAGGGAGCAAGCGUUGUCCGGAUUUAUUGGGCGUAAAGAGCUCGUAGGCGGUUCCGUAAGUCGGGUGUGAAAAAUCUGGGCUCAACCCAGUGGAGCACCCGAUACUGCGGUGACUCGAGUCCGGUAGGGGAGUGUGGAAUUCCUGGUGUAGCGGUGAAAUGCGCAGAUAUCAGGAGGAACACCGACGGCGAAGGCAGCACUCUGGGCCGGUACUGACGCUGAGGAGCGAAAGCAUGGGGAGCGAACAGG